ACGGAGGGUGCAAGCGUUAAUCGGAAUUACUGGGCGUAAAGCGUGCGCAGGCGGUUUGUUAAGUCCGUUGUGAAAUCCUGGAGCUCAACUCCAGAACUGCCUUUGAUACUGAGGAUCUUGAGUUCGGGAGAGGUGAGUGGAACUGCGAGUGUAGAGGUGAAAUUCGUAGAUAUUCGCAAGAACACCAGUGGCGAAGGCGGCUCACUGGCCCGAUACUGACGCUGAGGCACGAAAGCGUGGGGAGCAAACAGGA
This 253-nucleotide ribosomal RNA is filed under the name uncultured prokaryote. Its description in RNAcentral is "partial 16S ribosomal RNA". It matches the Rfam family "Bacterial small subunit ribosomal RNA", at positions 525 to 777 of the family's 1533-position model. The record is from RNAcentral.